This 431-nucleotide ribosomal RNA is filed under the name uncultured Erysipelothrix sp. RNAcentral's name for it is "bacterial SSU rRNA". It matches the Rfam family "Bacterial small subunit ribosomal RNA", at positions 944 to 1382 of the family's 1533-position model. Lineage: Bacteria; Bacillati; Bacillota; Erysipelotrichia; Erysipelotrichales; Erysipelotrichaceae. The record is from RNAcentral.
GUUAAUUCGACGCAACGCGAAGAACCUUACCAGGCCUUGACAUACUCGGCAAAGCUCUAGAGAUAGAGUGGAGGUUAUCCGGGAUACAGGUGGUGCAUGGUUGUCGUCAGCUCGUGUCGUGAGAUGUUGGGUUAAGUCCCGCAACGAGCGCAACCCUUGUCUUUAGUUACCAUCAUUCAGUUGGGGACUCUAGAGAGACUGCCGGUGAUAAACCGGAGGAAGUGGGGAUGACGUCAAAUCAUCAUGCCCCUUAUGGCCUGGGCUACAAACGUAAUACAAUGGCGUAUACAAAGGGAUGCGAAAGGGCGACCUGGAGCAAAACUCACAAAGUACGUCUCAGUUCAGAUUGGAGUCUGCAACUCGACUCCAUGAAGGCGGAAUCGCUAGUAAUCGCGGAUCAGCAUGCCGCGGUGAAUACGUUCCCGGGCCUU